This 356-nucleotide ribosomal RNA is filed under the name uncultured Klebsiella sp. Its description in RNAcentral is "bacterial SSU rRNA". It matches the Rfam family "Bacterial small subunit ribosomal RNA", at positions 505 to 859 of the family's 1533-position model. Lineage: Bacteria; Pseudomonadati; Pseudomonadota; Gammaproteobacteria; Enterobacterales; Enterobacteriaceae. The record is from RNAcentral.
GUGCCAGCAGCUGCGGUAAUACGGAGGGUGCAAGCGUUAAUCGGAAUUACUGGGCGUAAAGCGCACGCAGGCGGUCUGACAAGUCGGAUGUGAAAUCCCCGAGCUCAACCCGGGAACUGCAUUCGAAACUGUCAGGCUGGAGUCUUGUAGAGGGGGGGUAGAAUUCCAGGUGUAGCGGUGAAAUGCGUAGAGAUCUGGAGGAAUACCGGUGGCGAAGGCGGCCCCCUGGACAAAGACUGACGCUCAGGUGCGAAAGCGUGGGGAGCAAACAGGAUUAGAUACCCUGGUAGUCCACGCUGUAAACGAUGUCGACUUGGAGGUUGUGCCCUUGAGGCGUGGCUUCCGGAGCUAACGCG